ACUCGCCGUGUCCUGAACACUGGCUGGGCUUCCUGUGCGUUCUAGCCGGUUUUCUUUGGAGCGGCGGGUUUCUGCACGGCUCCGGGGUCGGGAUGGCAGAGGCUUCUCGGAACACGCGGAUCUAUGAGUGCAGUCCCCGGGGUAGCCACCAGGGAACGCCAUAGGCUUUCCCGCUGUGUUCCUCCUUGCCUUUUCCGUUUGGGCCAAGUAGUUUCUAUUGACCAUGACAUUACAGAUCAGAAGUGGGUGGGGUCAGAAAACACACCCUGGGAGAAGCUGGCAAAAUGCCCAGAACCGCCAUCACUAGGCCUGGGGUUUUCUUCUGUAGUGGAAUUCUCGUGCUUAUGUAGUACAGGGAGGAGCGCAGCGCAUUUCCGCCAAGACAGGUGAGACUGCAGUUCUGACCUGCGGGCCUCGAUGAAUUGCUUUAGGGCCCCUGGGCGCCGGCAGAGCCGAUCUCCUACACAAAGCAAGCGUGUUAUGUCUACGACCGAACGGGGACACUAAGAAAGAGCCCCAAAGGCCCUGCUUUCAUCCCAAAGAACAGCGCCUGUCUGCGUAGUUUCUACCUUGCUCUAUGAGUGCAUCAGUUUAAGAGAAGACAUGAGAUCAUGGGUUUAAGUGAGGCUUCAUCAUACUAAGACAACGUGAUCAGGUACAAGUCGGUGAUUAAAGUGCAGAACAACUUCCCCAAUACAGGAAUCCAGCUUCUGAAAAUAUCUGUGCUGGAAAACUUGCAAUGGAGGAAUGGAAGACUUGAGAAAGGGAGGGCUGGGAAACAAGAGCUGUGACUCACCCUGAAGACAUUCUUAUUCCCAACCUAUAUAACUCACAUACACUGGAGGAAAUAUCUUCAUGGAAUUAAAACCACAUGGAGUAACAUUUCACGUAAGCAGAAUUCAGGAAGGAUUUCAGUAAUUCCAUCCCAAACACACACAGGCAAAGGGAGUGAAGAUUUCUUCAGCAACAUGGUGGCAGAAAGAUCAUGAAAAGAUCUAGGCCAGGCAAGUAUGCAAACAAGACUGACUCUUCCUUUCCACUGGAGCUUUGGGUAAUUGCUCUGACAAUUCUAUGAUUUGCUGAAGCCACAGAAAAUCAGUUUUAAAACAGGAUUUCUACCCCUGGCUCACUACAUGACAAAUAAUUUUAUCCUGUAAUCUUCUGAUGUUAAACAAAGAUGGCCCUCAAUGUAAUUGUUACAGUGCCUCCUCCCCACUUCUGUUAGCUGUUGCUUCUCUGCCUCCCACGAGUUUAGUGUAAUCCCAGAACUUUGGGAGACCAAGGAGGGCAGAUCACUUGAGGUCAGGAGUCAGA
Molecule: long non-coding RNA, 1314 nt
Organism: Homo sapiens (human)
Lineage: Eukaryota; Metazoa; Chordata; Mammalia; Primates; Hominidae
Exons: 4
Source: RefSeq, a predicted model, not a curated record